UCAAAUGGACAGCAAGCAAUAAUGAUACGUUCAGCUGAGAGGCUCAACUGGAUCGACAGCUGAGAAGACUUUUUUAGAAUUCACAAAAGUAAAGAAACUUCAAGAGUUACCUGAAGAAGUCACAAGAAGUUGCACUGUGAAUGACACGGACAAGCUAAUGGCCUAAGCAGCACUGAGACAAGUUCAGGACAUCUUGUGACACCCUACCAAAGAAGGAAAACUCAGUGGUGAAAUAUGAGACAACCUCCAGGCAUCUGGGGAACUUUCAUCCCAUCAGAUAAGGGAACUGUAACUCCCACAGAUACAAUUCUUGGCAUCGUAACUGCAGAAGACUGGAAGUGAUAUGAAAACCAAGGAUUAUCUCAGAGAUAAAUAAUGAUACACUGUUUCUACGUCAUUCAGUCACGCAGACUCCACUCUUCCUGGGGCCAGC
Molecule: long non-coding RNA, 433 nt
Filed under: Cairina moschata (Muscovy duck)
Lineage: Eukaryota; Metazoa; Chordata; Aves; Anseriformes; Anatidae
Description: domestica (muscovy Duck (domestic type)) lncRNA (ENSCMMG00000007056.1)
Source: RNAcentral